Verruconis gallopava is the source of this 91-nucleotide transfer RNA. It matches the Rfam family "tRNA". From Rfam's summary of the family: Transfer RNA (tRNA) molecules are approximately 80 nucleotides in length. The record is from Rfam. Lineage: Eukaryota; Fungi; Ascomycota; Dothideomycetes; Venturiales; Sympoventuriaceae.
GCUCUGCUAGCGCAAUGGUAGCGCGUCAGACUUCUAUCCCACCCCCCGGAAUAUAAUCUGAAGGCUCCGGGUUCGAGUCCCGGGUGGAGCU